This 428-nucleotide long non-coding RNA is filed under the name Junco hyemalis (dark-eyed junco). Its description in RNAcentral is "lncRNA (ENSJHYG00000012917.1)". Lineage: Eukaryota; Metazoa; Chordata; Aves; Passeriformes; Passerellidae. The record is from RNAcentral.
CAGAGCAGGUGAGACUCACCUUCUAAUCACUGAGUCAUAAAAAAGCCUUUGUGGCACCAUGUGAGAAACAAUCCUGUGAGCAGACAGGACAGGCAGAGAGAGGCAAGGGGGCACUGAACAGCGCAGGAAUGUGGACAUAAAGAAGCUGAAGGGCCCUCACAACACCCUGGCAUCAAUCUUAUAGGUAAGACUAAAGAACAAAGUUAUGCAUUUUUGGGCCAAAGAGAGGACAAAAGGAACUUAGGAGUACCAAAAACCUGAAAUUAACUCUGAAGAACUUGUCUCUCGUUUCCCAUUUGAGCUGCAGCUCCCUGGAAUAAAAGCCAGCCUGGUGAUGGAGGCACAAGGCUCAGAGUCAGCUCUGGAUCCUGGCUCUGCCAGAUCCUGGCAGUGCCACCUUCAGUAAGUUUCCUGACCUUUCCACACCU